GACGAACGCUGGCGGCGUGCCUAAUACAUGCAAGUAGAACGCUGAAGGAGGAGCUUGCUUCUCUGGAUGAGUUGCGAACGGGUGAGUAACGCGUAGGUAACCUGCCUGGUAGCGGGGGAUAACUAUUGGAAACGAUAGCUAAUACCGCAUAACAGUAGAUAUUGCAUGAUAUCUGCUUGAAAGGUGCAAAUGCAUCACUACCAGAUGGACCUGCGUUGUAUUAGCUAGUUGGUGAGGUAACGGCUCACCAAGGCAACGAUACAUAGCCGACCUGAGAGGGUGAUCGGCCACACUGGGACUGAGACACGGCCCAGACUCCUACGGGAGGCAGCAGUAGGGAAUCUUCGGCAAUGGACGGAAGUCUGACCGAGCAACGCCGCGUGAGUGAAGAAGGUUUUCGGAUCGUAAAGCUCUGUUGUAAGAGAAGAACGAGUGUGAGAGUGGAAAGUUCACACUGUGACG
Molecule: ribosomal RNA, 462 nt
Filed under: Streptococcus sp. oral taxon 431
Lineage: Bacteria; Bacillati; Bacillota; Bacilli; Lactobacillales; Streptococcaceae
Description: bacterial SSU rRNA
Rfam family: Bacterial small subunit ribosomal RNA
Source: RNAcentral